Molecule: long non-coding RNA, 1010 nt
Filed under: Fukomys damarensis (Damara mole-rat)
Lineage: Eukaryota; Metazoa; Chordata; Mammalia; Rodentia; Bathyergidae
Description: lncRNA (ENSFDAG00000030976.1)
Source: RNAcentral
CUUUGAUUUUCUACAAUCUUUUUUUUUUUAAGCUGCUCUGUGAAGUGAAUGUUUAUAAAGCAUGGACAAAGAACAACUCCAUGGAUGAUGCCAAAAAUCUCAACUAUGUGAUAAAGGAAUGACUGAGUUAUCACCCUUCAAGAGCACCGUCUAUAUUUUCACAGGAAUAUGUAGACAAAUAUGUUGGCUAUGUGUACAAACCAAAGUUGAGAAUUCAUCAUGGAAUUCCCUAAGCUGAAGAAGUUCAGAGAAACAGGUGACAAUCAGGAAAGGAAAGAAAAUCUACUGCACACAACAAUAAGCUCCACAAAUUAUACAGAGGAAUCUGCUGAGAACCAUCAAACUUAAGAAUAUUAGGCCUACUCAAUAUGCUACACAGACUUGGACAAGCCUUUACUGAUACCUUUCAAAGAAAGCUACAAAAGAGCCUCUAAUGGAUUGAUGAGGUGAUGCUGAUUCUUAGUACAGCUGUCCCCCAUCUAAGAGGAACUGUUCCAUGACCCCCUGGAGGAUGACUGUAACUGAGGAGAAUACUAAACACGAUAUAUAUUAUGAUUUUCCCAUCUAUGCAUACUUGUGAUAAAGUUUUAUUUUCAAAUUAAGCACCCUUUUGGUCAUGUUUUUCCCUUAUGUAUUUAAUAUCCUUUCCUUCUUAAUUAAGCACUUAUAACACAAUGUAGUUGUAGGUUUUUUGGUCUGAGGUACAAUUGCAAAACCAGUGUAAGCUUCUUUUUUCCUUCUUCACAAUUUCAUGGACAGAUCUGUUUUUGCUGUAGAUCUCAGCAACCUCAGCAAAGGCUGUUUCUUUUCUCUCUCUUUUUUUUCAAAUUAAGUUAAGAACUAUCACCUUUUCAGUUAAAUGAAGAAUUUUAAAAUUUCUUUGCCAUAUCCUGACAAUAUCACUACUCCUGCACUUUAGGACUUUGAUUAUAUAAAGGAUCUGUGAGCACAAGCACUGCAAUAUUUUAGCUGAUCUGAUAACAAAGAUGGCUAAGUGACUAACAGGGAGA